This is a long non-coding RNA of Brassica oleracea var. oleracea, 577 nucleotides long. RefSeq lists it as uncharacterized. The record is from RefSeq and is a predicted model, not a curated record. Lineage: Eukaryota; Viridiplantae; Streptophyta; Magnoliopsida; Brassicales; Brassicaceae. The transcript is spliced from 2 exons.
AGAAUAUAUCACGAGUAUUGACAACAAAACGUUCUACACUUAUUACUUGAGCAAGACUGACUUCCAAGUCAUAAUCUUUAUCAAAUUUUGAAUCAUGAAGGGUGCUACUUUGGUUAUGGUAUCUUGUGUUUUCAUAUGUUUCAUUCUGAGUCAUGGUAAAGACGGGGACUGUUGGGAUGAAAUCCCAUUCCCUGGAAAAUGCAGCAAACAAGGAAAAAAGGAAUGCUUCAAAGAAAUGCUUUCGAAGAACAUUACAAGACGCUUUGUUCGCUGCAACUGUAUAAACUGGGAACCUGACAAAUCAGGUGAGGAAGGACAUAAUGUAAAACAUAGUCAUGAGCAUACAGAGCAUCAACAUAUCUGCCAAUGUCUCAGAGUUGUUGCCGGUGAUUGUUUGCCAUACGGAAAAGCGUAACAGAGUUUUUGGUGGUGACACAUAGAUAAACAAUGGUGGUAAUCUGAUGUUAUUUUUUCUUCAAAUUAUAUUUCUUUUCAUCUUAAUAAAGGCAAUAAGAUUAUGCGUUAUCAAUUGUAACGGACUAUAUAUGCGUAUUUCAUUCAAUUUUAUUUUAUUUUA